This is a long non-coding RNA of Monodelphis domestica (gray short-tailed opossum), 2331 nucleotides long. NCBI's taxonomy places the organism in Eukaryota, Metazoa, Chordata, Mammalia, Didelphimorphia, Didelphidae. The record is from Ensembl.
GAAUUAGUCACGACUUCUUGCUGCUAUCCAAAGCAUUUAUCGGAUAUUAUAAAAACCCUGCAUGUAAAAAAAGUAACAACCACCAAUCCUUUUUUCUCCUUCUAUUCUAUUUUGUUUUCCACGGCCAAAAAUGGGGGGGGGGGGGGAGGGUGGAGCGUGAGCCCCCAUUCUCUCCCUCGCUCCCCUCUCCAGCUCCUCCCUCUUACCUGCGAGUCGAGUCCCCGCCGAGGGCCGCCGCGCCUCGGUCCCUCCCCGCUGGGCCGAGGGGCAGCCGCCGCCGUUGCCGAGAGCCAAGAGUCCGAAGGGAGCCGGCCGGGGCCUCCCCGGCAGCAGGAGCAGCUCCACCGGGAAAGGAGGAGACAAAACAGCACCGCGCCUCCUCCCUUACACACUCCCUCACUCACUCCCUCUCUCUCUCUCACAAACGCUCCCCCGCCUGCUUCACAACAGCUCCUACCACCCCCAACCCCCAACGGCGGCGGCAGCGACGGCGGCGACACUGAGCCCGGCGCACGCAGUAAUGGUCCCCCCAACCCGCCGCCGCCGAGCUUUCCCCGCGCCCGGCCCCCUCCCUCCAGCCCGCUCAGCUCCGCCCCCUUCGCCUCCUGCUGCCGCCACCAGGACACACGAUUCCGCCCGCCCCGCUCCGCGCGCGCGCGCCCCCCCUCCACACACCCAUUUCACACGCACAUCCCCGGCGGGAGGGGGAGCCGCGCCGUAUUCCCCAGGAGGCGCUCGGCUCCGACUGGCGGCGGGCAGCGUCCUUGGCCAGCGUGCAGCCCCAGCUCGGAUCUCUGUCCCACACCUGGAUUGGCUGCUGUGUGGAAUCUCCCCGUUUCCCCCACCCCACCAAAGUUCCCGCAUCCAUUCAAUGCGCCCGCCUUGAGCCCCUCGAGCACGCGAAAACUUCCCACCUCCAUUCUCAAGCUACCACAGGCCGGUGCUCUCGACAACUCCCGGUCAUGAGAUGGCGGGACUUCUAGGCCUGGCUGCAGCCAGCCUCACCUGGCUCCUCUACCCUCCCCCACAAGCUAGACUGCCCCUCCCUCGCAUCCCCACUGGCCACGCUCUGCGAGGGCUGUCCAGGCCUCUCGGUCCUUAAAACCUCCGUUCCAGCGGGGGGUUGGUCUGUGCACCUGCCCAGGCGCAAAACAGCUGCCCGGUACCCCUACCCUUCCUCUUCAUCUCUACCUUUUUCGAGUCCCCUGAAUCCUCCCUCCGCCCCGCCUCCAAUGAUUAAUAUCCCUUCAAUCUCCUUCCACAGGACCGAGCCCAGACUAAGGCAGUUUGACAGUUAUGGGUAGGGGGAAAGGGCAAAACACGAGGCGCUUCUCUCUCCCUCUCAACCAGCGCCCCUCCCCGAGGGGAGUGGGCCAGCUAUCCCCGCCCAAAAGUGACCCCGCCCCCGGUCGGUGACGUACCGUGUUGACCCCGCCCCCUGACGCUCCUCGCGCCAGUCUUCUCCUCCUUCUCCCUCCUGACAGCGUCACCUCCUCGCCCGCCCCGUUGACUCCGCCCCAUUCCCCGAAAUUACAACCGACUGAACUGCCCCGGCGGCCGUUGGAGUUUGCGUUCGGUUUCCUCCGCCCGCGUGGCUCGGUUGCGGGUCCCGGCGCUCGCGUUCAGGCUCUGCUGGGCGCUUCCGAGCGGGCUCGCUGAGGGCCAGGGCGCGGGCGCCAGCGCGCGCACCACCUUGCCCUCUUCCCGUUUCCUCCCCUAUUCCCCCACCCCCCCGCACCGCUCGCCUACCCGCUGCGCCGGCUCCCCAGUCGGAGCCAAGAGGCCAUUCCGCGACGUGCAUCGCCGAAGUUUGCCCAAAGUUUCUCCUGGAACAGCUCUUGUUCCUCUGAAGUUUGCGGACCCACAAAGAAAGCGAUUCGAGCCCUAUUAGGAGAGCCAAAAUGUAAAGUUUUGUUCAGAGAAUUGAAGAUUCAGGGCGGAAGAAGUGGUGGACGGUCGGUGUGGAAUGGGGACUCUAGGAGACCGUAGUAGUCAUGUCAGGGCUCGAAAGGGAAUCUAGCAUGCGUGUUAUGUCCAAAAAAACAAGUUGGCACUUAGAAUUAGGAAAACUCGAGUUAAGAUUUUAUUUCACACUUGUUAACUGUGACCUUGGGCAAGUCAUUUAACCUCUGCCUAAAUUUCUUCAACUGUAAAGUGAGGAUAAUAACACCAACUGCUAAGGCAGUUUUGAGGAUCAACUGAAGAUGGUAACGCAUUUACUGUAGUUCCUGACAUAUAAUGGGUGCUAUAUCAAUUAUAGUUCUUUUUAAAGCAGGACAUCCAGGUGACUAAAUGAAUAAAGCCAGAAGACUGGAAUUAAGAUGUGGCUGG